This 443-nucleotide ribosomal RNA is filed under the name uncultured bacterium. Its description in RNAcentral is "partial 16S ribosomal RNA". It matches the Rfam family "Bacterial small subunit ribosomal RNA", at positions 28 to 507 of the family's 1533-position model. The record is from RNAcentral.
GAUGAACGCUGGCGGCAUGCCUAACACAUGCAAGUCGAUCGGUAAGGCUCUUCGGAGUACACGAGAGGCGGACGGCUGAGUAACGCGUAGGAACACACCCUGCAGUGAGGGAUAAGACACCGAAAGGUGUUCUAAUACCGCAUACGGUCUUCGGGUUAAAGCAUUUAUGCGCUGAAGGAGUGGCCUGCGUCAUAUUAGAUAGUUGGUGAGGUAAUGGCUCACCAAGUCGAUGAUGUGUAGCUGGUCUGAGAGGAUGAUCAGCCAGACUGGAACUGAGACACGGUCCAGACUCCUACGGGAGGCAGCAGUGAGGAAUAUUUCACAAUGAGCGAAAGCUUGAUGGAGCAAUGCCGCGUGCAGGAUGAAGGCCCUCGGGUUGUAAACUGCUUUUAUAAGAGAAGAUUAUGACGGUAACUUAUGAAUAAGGGACGGCUAACUACGUG